RNAcentral lists this unclassified non-coding RNA (329 nucleotides) under soil metagenome. Its description in RNAcentral is "partial contains 5.8S ribosomal RNA, internal transcribed spacer 2, and large subunit ribosomal RNA". The stretch from base 1 to 120 matches the Rfam family "5.8S ribosomal RNA", at positions 35 to 154 of the family's 154-position model. The record is from RNAcentral.
GAUGAAGAACGUAGUGAAAUGCGAUAAGUAAUGUGAAUUGCAGAAUUCAGUGAAUCAUCGAAUCUUUGAACGCACAUUGCGCCCCUUGGUAUUCCGGGGGGCAUGCCUCUUCCAGCGUCAUUUCACCCCUCAAGCUCUGCUUGGUUUUGGGCCGCGCCGGCAACGGCGGGCCUCGAAAAUAGUGGCGACGCCAUCGUGCUCUCAGCGUAGUAAUUCUUCUCGCUGUUGGGUCCCGGUGGUCGUCCGCCAGCAACCCCCAACUUUCUUAUGUUUGACCUGGGAUGAGGUAGGGAUACCCGCUGAACUUAAGCAUAUCAAUAAGCGGAGGA